GAUGAAGAACGUAGCGAAAUGCGAUACUUGGUGUGAAUUGCAGAAUCCCGUGAACCAUCGAGUUUUUGAACGCAAGUUGCGCCCGAAGCCGUCAGGCCGAGGGCACGCCUGCCUGGGCGUCACACGCCGUUGCCCCCCCCGCGCCCCGCACCCAACUCUUUGGGAGCGACCGCGGGGCGGGCUGAUGAUGGCCUCCCGUGCGCUCCGCCGCGCGGUUGGCCCAAAUACCGAGUCCCCGGCGACGUGCGCCACGACGAUCGGUGGUUGAGAGACCUCUGUCGCAAGUCGUGCGCGCCCGUCGCGUCACGCGGGCUCGCAUAGCGCCUCGCGCCGCACCCGGUGCGGAGCUUUCAACGCGACCCCAGGUCAGGCGGGGUUACCCGCUGAAUUUAAGCAUAUCAAUAAGCGGAGGA
RNAcentral lists this unclassified non-coding RNA (413 nucleotides) under soil metagenome. RNAcentral describes it as "partial contains 5.8S ribosomal RNA, internal transcribed spacer 2, and large subunit ribosomal RNA". The stretch from base 1 to 122 matches the Rfam family "5.8S ribosomal RNA", at positions 35 to 154 of the family's 154-position model. The record is from RNAcentral.